UUCGCAAUGCCCGAAAGGGUGACGAAGCGACGCCGCGUGUGGGAAGAAGGCCUUCGGGUUGUAAACCACUGUCGGGAGUUAAGAAAUGCAAGGAUAUUAAUAGUGUCUUUGUUUGACUAAGGCCCCGGAGGAAGCCACGGCUAACUCUGUGCCAGCAGCCGCGGUAAUACAGAGGCGGCAAGCGUUGUUCGGAAUUAUUGGGCGUAAAGAGCACGUAGGCGGCUAUGUAAGUCGGUUGUGAAAGCCUUCCGCUCAACGGAAGAACAGCAUCCGAUACUACAUGGCUUGAGUGUGGGAGGGGAGAGUGGAACUUCUGGUGGAGCGGUGAAAUGCGUAGAUAUCAGAAGGAACGCCGGCGGCGAAAGCGGCUCUCUGGCCCAUAACUGACGCUGAGUGUGCGAAAGCUAGGGGAGCAAACGGGAUUAGAUACCCCGGUAGUCCUAGCCGUAAACGAUGGGCACUAAGUAGAGGGGUUUU
This 477-nucleotide ribosomal RNA is filed under the name uncultured bacterium. RNAcentral's name for it is "bacterial SSU rRNA". It matches the Rfam family "Bacterial small subunit ribosomal RNA", at positions 365 to 832 of the family's 1533-position model. The record is from RNAcentral.